AAUAUUGGACAAUGGGCGAAAGCCUGAUCCAGCCAUGCCGCGUGAGUGAAGAAGGUUAUCGGCUUGUAAAGCACUUUAGGGUGGUGAUAAGUGGAGCACGUGAAUACCCUGCGCGGUGUAGGGUACCGUCACCAUAAGCACCGGCUAACUACGUGCCAGCAGCCGCGGUAAUACGAAGGGUGCCAGCGUUAAUCGGAAUUACUGGGCCUAAAGCUCUCGCAGGCGGUUCAUUAAGAUAGAUGUGAAAGCCCCGGGCUCAACCUGGGAACUGCAUCCACAACUGGCGAGCUAGAGUACGGUAGAGGGUGGUGGAAUUGCCCGUGUAGCAGUGAAAUGCGUAGAGAUAGGAAGGAAAACCAAUGGCGAAGGCGACCACCUGGACUGAUACUGACGCUCAGGUACGAAAGCGUGGGGAGCAAACAGG
This 424-nucleotide ribosomal RNA is filed under the name uncultured bacterium. RNAcentral describes it as "partial 16S ribosomal RNA". It matches the Rfam family "Bacterial small subunit ribosomal RNA", at positions 360 to 776 of the family's 1533-position model. The record is from RNAcentral.